Long non-coding RNA from Mesocricetus auratus (golden hamster), 4187 nucleotides. RefSeq lists it as uncharacterized. The record is from RefSeq and is a predicted model, not a curated record. The transcript is spliced from 3 exons. NCBI's taxonomy places the organism in Eukaryota, Metazoa, Chordata, Mammalia, Rodentia, Cricetidae.
GUGGGUAGGUGGGGGGGUGCAGGACCGAGGAGACAAAGCUGGGCCUCGAGGAAGAACCGGGGCUCUGACGUCACCGCGGCCGCCUCGCUCGCCCCGGGUUUGCUGGCUCCCAGGCUGUCAGUGGUGGCAGCCUGGGCUGCGGGUCCCACGCUGCGGGUGCAUGUUGACGGGGUCACGCCUAACCCACUCGAGCAGAGGUUGUUGGAGUCUCCCAGGUGCGGAAUGUGUAGGGAAAAGGGACCAGUCAAAGAAACACACCCUGAGCAGAGCCAAAGAAACACCUGGAAAACUUUGGCAGCAUUGUGGGGUGGGGGGGUUAGGAGGAUGCGCUUCAUAACUGUACUGAUAAACACUAAGCAACACAAGUUGCCGGAGGACUAGACUUGCUCUCUGGUCCGGAAACCUGGCUGUUUUGCACUUGAGAGCAACGUGGAAACUAUCGAAACCCAAGGUAAUGGUUUAGGGAGUUCCUUUAGGUUUCCAGAAGUUGGAUCAGAUCUAAGUUUGCUGUUUUACGAGGUUUUGCUGAAGCCCUUAUGAUUAAUGAUAAAGCCAGAUAAACAAAGUCGGUGCAUGCACUUUAGAAAUAGAUCGGGUUGUUGGCACCAAGGACAGAAUUGAAGGAAUGUUGGUUCGACAUACUUUACAGGUAGAAAACGAAACCUAACCAAAGCGUGAAGGCAUGUGUGCAGCGACAUAAAUAGCAUCCCUAGGAGAAGAGAGAAUGGGGCAGUUGGUCAUAUGUGAAAUUGCGGCCAAAGGCCGUCCGUUUACCUGGAAAGGACCAAGGGAGACAGGAGACCCAAAAUUACCCCCAGCUAUCAUGGGAUUUCUGUGAAGCCUCCUUGUAGUUUGUUUUUUGUUAACUUCCUGUGCUUCACGGGCUAACCUCGAACUUUGAUCCCCCCCCUUCAUUCAUCUCAGGCAUGCCGGGGAAGGGUGAGUCACUACUCCUUGCUGAAAUUUCACAUUUAUUUAAAAACUAAACUUCCGGGCAGUGGUGGUACACAGCUUCAGUUCCAACACUUGGGAGGCAGAGGCAGGCGGAACUCUGUGAUUUCCGAGGCCAGCCUGAUCUACAAAGUUUACAGGACUUGUUACGCAGAGAAAUCUUGUCUCGAACUACACUCCCCCGCCCCACCCACACAAAAAAAGUUCAUAUACAAUUUCCUUCUAUCCCCUUCUGUACUAUGUUUGAUUUAAACAACUCAAGAAAAACAAAUUGGCCGGGCAGUGGUGGCGCACACCUUUUAGUCGGGGUGCUUAGAAGGCAGAGGCAGGCAGAUCUCCGAGUACCAGGCCAGCCUGCUCUGCAGAUCUACAGAGAGAAUUCCAGGACAGCCAUGGCUAGCUACACAGAGAAUCCCUGUUUUGAGGUGGGGAGGGAAAAAAAAAGUUUCUCCGAGUUAAUGAGCAAGAUGAAUUAAUUAAUUGCCUUUGUGGCUCAGCAAACUGUGACUUAACAGCCAGAUGGUCAACAGGGCAAUUCCUCUGUAAUACCAAACUAUAAAUCUCAUGACUACAAGUAGAAACACUGUAGUGUAUGAGUGUGUGCACAUGAGUGCAGGCGCCCCUUGGAGGACAGAGGACUAGGAUUCUCUGGUGUGGGUGUAUGUGAGUCACCAGACGUGGGUACAGAGAAUCAAACUUUCAAUAUCAGAUCCUGAUGGGGGUCUUUUGUCUGUUUGUUUUCAUUAUUUAGAGAACACUUUAUUUCUGUAAUCAAGCCCUCAUAGAUUAAAAACUUACAUAUUUAAUACAGUGUAGUAAUUCCUGUACUAAUAGAAAAAAAAAAUAGGCUUAACGUUUCAAGACCAGUAUUGCUGUUAUUGUGAUGCCAACUCAGCAUGGUAAAUUAGGAUACUUUUUUCCAAAUCUGGCAGCAUGCCUAACAUCUCCAAAGAUUCAAAUCAUAUAUGUAUGUAUACUGAUAUUAAAACAACAAAAGGCAGGCAUUGGUGGUGCAUGCCUUUAAUCCCAGCACUUGGGAGGCAGAGGCAGGGGGAAUCUCUGUGAGUUCAGGCCAGCGUGGUCCACAGAGUGAGUUCCAGGACAGCCAGGGCUGUUACACAGAGGAGCCCUGUCUCAAAAAAAAAAAAAAAAAACGGGGAAAAGUUAAAUUGAAGUGGUCUCUCAUAAACAUUUCACAAAACAAAGGAGUCAGAGAAUUGGCUCAGUGGGUAAUGCUGCCUGCCAAGCAAGACUGGGAACCCGAAUUCCGUCUCUGGAACCCACAUAAAGUGGGAAGAGAGAACCAACUCCAAAACGUCCUGACUUCCACUCACGAAUUCUGAGACAUCCCCCUAGAAAUAAUGAUACAUAAUAACGUUUUUUUUGUUUGUUUUUUGUUUUUGUUUUUUCGAGACAGGGUUUCUCUGUGGCUUUGGAGGCUGUCCUGGAACUAGCUCUUGUAGACCAGGCUGGCCUCAUAACAACGUUUUUUAAAGGGAAAGCCUGUCAACGCACGUGUUACUUGUGGGACCUGGUAGUUCAUACCAGUAAUCUCAUCACCUGGAGUCAGAAGCAAAGAGGAUCUCCACAAGUUAAAGACCAGCCAAGAUUCCAUACAAAAGACUCUAGCAAAAGAAGUUUAAAAAAUAAAACUCAUAAUGCCUUUGGCCAUUCGUUCGUUUGGUCGUUCUUUUGUAUGCAGAUAUACAUGCUUAGUGUGUUUUGUUUACCUAGCCACAAUAUGUUGGAUCUGGUUUCAGUCCUAUAGUGUAAACAACUCAGAAGACUUGAGACAGGAAGAUCUCAAAUUCAAGAACUGCCUGGACAAUUUACUGAGAACCCUACUGCAAAAUUUUAGUAAGAAGAUUUGAGGACACAGGGUUCAUAAUUUGGCAUGCAUGUGUGGCUGUAUGCCACGUACACGCAGCACCUGUGAAGGUCAAAGAGGGCAUCAGAUCCCCUAGGACUAGGGGUAUAGUGUUUGUGAGCUUCCAUUUGAAUGCUGGGAAUCAAACCCAGAUCCUCUGGAAGAGCAACCAUGGCUCUUAACUAUUUAGCCGACGCCUCUCCAGAGCCACAAACGGAAUUCUCGUCCAAAUUCAUCGGCUGAUUUGCAAUACUCUGAUAGGAAACUGUUUCAUCACUCAAGGGAGGAAAGUUGACAAAUUAGCGGAGCAAAACUGAAGUGGCAAAGGUUCCUUCAAGAAAGGACUCCAGAGAACCCUGAGUGAUACAGUGGACAUCAUCAUCUUUAGAGAGACUGAAAAGUCUUCAGAUUCUGCUAACUCUUUUGGACCCCAUACUCUGAGGUAUAUCUGUCAGUCCAGGACCACCUGCCUCCAAUAACAAAGCAGGGUCGAGUGACAGGCCAGACCCUGGUCAGUUCAGCCGACCGAGGAUUUGGACUCUGUGACACACAUUUAUACUUACCUCAUCCAACUGGAUGGUGCAGAAUGUGCGGUUGUUGUGGUUCAGGUGGAGAAUAUCAGCUUGCAACAGGCCUUAUACUCCAAAUUCCAGCCUCAGAUCCUGGCCUUCCUGGAUUUUACCAAACCUAAAUCAGUAUUGAAAAAAAAUACGCAGAGAGAAACUUUGCCCGUGUGACAACCUGGGAUAUGACUGCCAGCAGCUGCGAUGAGAGUUAUGAGCAGUGGGUUAUGGAGACCAAACCUAUCAAGUCUGUGUCCACUAUGGCGCCUAAUCUGAACGUGGAUUUUGACACUCCCCUGGACUAGAAGAAAAAACAAACAAACCAAAAGCAUAAAGACAAGCAGAAUGUGAGGAGUCAAUAGAGGGCACAGCGGUUCAGCUUCCUCACCUACUCUGCCCGUGGGAAGAAGGAUUGGAUGGGAAGAAGAAAGACUCAGAUUCAUCCCAUUCCCAGGCAAGCUUGUAGACCCUACAAGAGGAAUCUCUCAAUUGCAAAUUUAACCUUGGUAAGAUCGCUUCCAUCCUAACUUUAUGUCCUAGUCUGUGUCUGGACAUGAGGUGGUCAUUGAAUUCGAGAGCUUACUUCAGUCUUGUGUAACCUGCACAAGACACAGGGUCACGCCGACAAGAGCAAGUCGACAUUCCAACAGGCAGCAUUAAUUUGACCCGGUGAGUUACAAAAAGAAAAAAAAAAAGAAAGGGACAUGAAAUUGGAAGGGGAUGUUUGAGGUGGGUAAGACCAAGACAUGCUGUUUACAUAUAUGAAAAUGUCAAAGAGUAAAAGGUAAUCCUGACUUUAAAAAAAA